GAACGGAUGAUAACGCGCCGGCGUUUCAGCAUCUAAACCGCCUUCUACGACGAAAGUGUAUCUCCUACCCCGAACCACAUUGAUCUCAGUUCACAGACACAAACGGGGCUUUCUUGUCAUUCUCUUGAGUACUUUCUCGCACGAGAAAUAUGCUUAACAGAUCGAAAGUUAAUCAGCUUCUUGAAUUCCAAGUACAUUCGAUCAUUAUGUUCCCAAA
This is a long non-coding RNA of Ooceraea biroi (clonal raider ant), 217 nucleotides long. RefSeq lists it as uncharacterized. The record is from RefSeq and is a predicted model, not a curated record. Lineage: Eukaryota; Metazoa; Arthropoda; Insecta; Hymenoptera; Formicidae.